AUGCGCUAGAGGUCAUACCAGUUCCCAACAUUAAUUUCCAUUCUUUAACUUUGUCAGCUGGGAUUAUUUAUUUUCAGUUGAUUUUCAUGGCUGGUACAUUA
Non-coding RNA from Jatropha curcas, 101 nucleotides. NCBI's taxonomy places the organism in Eukaryota, Viridiplantae, Streptophyta, Magnoliopsida, Malpighiales, Euphorbiaceae. The record is from Rfam.